CAGAAUGAGAAGAAAGCAGGGAAAUGGGACUCUAGCUGUUAGAAAGCUCACUCUGGGAACCUAGUCGCUGUGUUGUUAAGAUGCAUGGAGAGGCCAUGUAUGGGUACUUCAAUUGACAGCCCAAGGUGAGCUUCCAGCUGACAGCCAGCACCAACUGCCAGCCAGCACCAACUGCCAGCCAUGUGAGUGGGCCAUUUUGGCAUCAAGCAGUAGUAGAGGCUUUGGAUGACUGCAGCUCCUGCCAACAUCUGACUGCAACCUCCUGAGCCACCCCAAGUGAGAACUAUCCAGUUGGGCCUGGCCAACCUGCAGGACUGUAAGAGCUAAUAAAACAUUACUGUCUCAAGCCA
This 350-nucleotide long non-coding RNA is filed under the name Homo sapiens (human). RNAcentral's name for it is "HSALNT0314818". The record is from RNAcentral. Lineage: Eukaryota; Metazoa; Chordata; Mammalia; Primates; Hominidae.